This 483-nucleotide ribosomal RNA is filed under the name uncultured bacterium. Its description in RNAcentral is "partial 16S ribosomal RNA". It matches the Rfam family "Bacterial small subunit ribosomal RNA", at positions 29 to 506 of the family's 1533-position model. The record is from RNAcentral.
AUUGAACGCUGGCGGCAGGCCUAACACAUGCAAGUCGAGCGGAUGAAGGGAGCCUGCUCCUGGAUUCAGCGGCGGACGGGUGAGUAAUGCCUAGGAAUCUGCCUGGUAGUGGGGGAUAACGUCCGGAAACGGGCGCUAAUACCGCAUACGUCCUGAGGGAGAAAGUGGGGGAUCUUCGGACCUCACGCUAUCAGAUGAGCCUAGGUCGGAUUAGCUAGUUGGUGGGGUAAAGGCCUACCAAGGCGACGAUCCGUAACUGGUCUGAGAGGAUGAUCAGUCAAACGGGAACUGAGACGGGGUCCAGACCCCAAGGGGAGGCAGGGGGGGGGAAUUUUGGAAAGGGGGGGAAACCCUGAUCCACCCAUGCCGGGGGUGUGAAGAAGGUUUUCGGAUUGAAAAUCCGUUUAAGUUGGGGGGAAGGGGAGAAAGUUAAAACCUUGCUUUUUGACCGUUACCAACAAAAAAAGCACGGGCAAAUUUGGG